CAUGCAAGUCGAGCGGUAGAGAGAAGCUUGCUUCUCUUGAGAGCGGCGGACGGGUGAGUAAUGCCUAGGAAUCUGCCUGGUAGUGGGGGAUAACGUUCGGAAACGGACGCUAAUACCGCAUACGUCCUACGGGAGAAAGCAGGGGACCUUCGGGCCUUGCGCUAUCAGAUGAGCCUAGGUCGGAUUAGCUAGUUGGUGAGGUAAUGGCUCACCAAGGCUACGAUCCGUAACUGGUCUGAGAGGAUGAUCAGUCACACUGGAACUGAGACACGGUCCAGACUCCUACGGGAGGCAGCAGUGGGGAAUAUUGGACAAUGGGCGAAAGCCUGAUCCAGCCAUGCCGCGUGUGUGAAGAAGGUCUUCGGAUUGUAAAGCACUUUAAGUUGGGAGGAAGGGCAGUUACCUAAUACGUGAUUGUUUUGACGUUACCGACAGAAUAAGCACCGGCUAACUCUGUGCCAGCAGCCGCGGUAAUACAGAGGGUGCAAGCGUUAAUCGGAAUUACUGGGCGUAAAGCGCGCGUAGGUGGUUUGUUAAGUUGGAUGUGAAAUCCCCGGGCUCAACCUGGGAACUGCAUUCAAAACUGACUGACUAGAGUAUGGUAGAGGGUGGUGGAAUUUCCUGUGUAGCGGUGAAAUGCGUAGAUAUAGGAAGGAACACCAGUGGCGAAAGGCGACCACCUGGACUAAUACUGACACUGAGGUGCGAAAGCGUGGGGAGCAAACAGGAUUAGAUACCCUGGUAGUCCACGCCGUAAACGAUGUCAACUAGCCGUUGGGAGCCUUGAGCUCUUAGUGGCGCAGCUAACGCAUUAAGUUGACCGCCUGGGGGAGUACGGCCGCAAGGUUAAAACUCAAAUGAAUUGACGGGGGCCCGCACAAGCGGGUGGGAGCAUGGUGGUUUAAUUUCGAAGCAACGCGAAGAACCUUACCAGGCCUUGACAAUCCAAUGA
Molecule: ribosomal RNA, 952 nt
Filed under: Pseudomonas sp.
Lineage: Bacteria; Pseudomonadati; Pseudomonadota; Gammaproteobacteria; Pseudomonadales; Pseudomonadaceae
Description: bacterial SSU rRNA
Rfam family: Bacterial small subunit ribosomal RNA
Source: RNAcentral